CUGUACGCUGGAGUCAACGUCGCAAAUCGAUGUUUCCCCCGAUUUUCGUCAUGUAACAGCGUUGCCAAACGAACUUCAAAUUCAUUCAGUAAAAUGCUGACUUUGACUGAUGUUAUUUGACCCCUGAAAAUUGGGAAUCAGCCAAAGCAGUCCUGUAUGGCGGUCGUGUGGAAAGGAUGCAACCGUGUGGGAUGGCCGUCACUACAAGCAGUCACUUCUUGAGACACCAAAUCCUGUCACACAAGGCCAAUGGAUGGUUGGUGCAUUUUCACUGAGUUUGAAUGUGGUAAGAUUCUUAGGAAUCUAGUGCCAGAGAUGAAGCGGAAGCCACAACGAAGCCGGGGUUU
Patiria miniata (bat star) is the source of this 347-nucleotide long non-coding RNA. RefSeq lists it as uncharacterized. The record is from RefSeq and is a predicted model, not a curated record. Lineage: Eukaryota; Metazoa; Echinodermata; Asteroidea; Valvatida; Asterinidae. The transcript is spliced from 3 exons.